RNAcentral lists this ribosomal RNA (332 nucleotides) under uncultured bacterium. RNAcentral's name for it is "bacterial SSU rRNA". It matches the Rfam family "Bacterial small subunit ribosomal RNA", at positions 568 to 898 of the family's 1533-position model. The record is from RNAcentral.
CAUGUAGGCUGCUUCGCAAGUCGGGUGUGAAAGCCCUGGGCUCAACCUAGGAAGUGCACUCGAAACUGCGAAGCUGGAGUCCUGGAGAGGAAGGCGGAAUUCUCGGUGUAGAGGUGAAAUUCGUAGAUAUCGAGAGGAACACCGGUGGCGAAGGCGGCCUUCUGGACAGUGGCUGACGCUGAGACGCGAAAGCGUGGGGAGCAAACAGGAUUAGAUACCCUGGUAGUCCACGCCGUAAACGAUGGGUGCUAGGUGUCGCGGGCUUUGACCCCUGCGGUGCCGUAGCUAACGCAUUAAGCACCCCGCCUGGGGAGUACGGCCGCAAGGCUAAA